RNAcentral lists this unclassified non-coding RNA (240 nucleotides) under Coprinopsis neolagopus. RNAcentral describes it as "ITS1". Lineage: Eukaryota; Fungi; Basidiomycota; Agaricomycetes; Agaricales; Psathyrellaceae. The record is from RNAcentral.
UUGAAUAAAUCUGGCGUGGUUGUAGCUGGCUCUCCGGAGCAAGUGCUCGCCCGUCACCUUUAUCUUUCCACCUGUGCACACACUGUAGUCCUGGAUACCUCUCGUCGCAAGGCGGAUACGGGGAUUGCUGUUUUCCUCCUAGAGGAAUCGGCUCUCCCUGAAUUUCCAGGGCUAUGAUUUUACACACCCCAAUUGUAUGUUAAAGAAAGUCAUCACUAGGCUUCGUGCCUAUAAACCUAU